This 253-nucleotide ribosomal RNA is filed under the name uncultured bacterium. Its description in RNAcentral is "partial 16S ribosomal RNA". It matches the Rfam family "Bacterial small subunit ribosomal RNA", at positions 524 to 776 of the family's 1533-position model. The record is from RNAcentral.
UACGGGGGGGGCAAGCGUUGUUCGGAAUUACUGGGCGUAAAGGGGCUGUAGGCGGCCAACUAAGUCCGACGUGAAAUCCCAAGGCUUAACCUUGGAACUGCGUCGGAUACUGGAUGGCUUGAAUUCGGGAGAGGGAUGCAGAAUUCCAGGUGUAGCGGUGAAAUGCGUAGAUAUCUGGAGGAAUACCGGUGGCGAAGGCGGCAUCCUGGACCGACAUUGACGCUGAAAGCCGAAAGCUAGGGGAGCAAACGGG